GAGUCCUUUCAUAUUUUCCCACUGCUUUCUUGAACUUGAUUUGUUGUCUGUAUGUGGAUCUAUAUCUAUGGAAAAGCUCAAGAAAGCUGUGGGAAAACAUGAAACGAGUC
RNAcentral lists this microRNA precursor (110 nucleotides) under Picea abies (Norway spruce). RNAcentral describes it as "miR396d stem-loop (pab-MIR396d)". Its record names the gene pab-MIR396d. The record is from miRBase by way of RNAcentral. Lineage: Eukaryota; Viridiplantae; Streptophyta; Pinopsida; Pinales; Pinaceae.